UUAUUUUCAGGAAGCUUUCGGGUGGAAUGAACUUAACUUAGCGGCGGACGGGUGAGUAACGCGUGGACAACCUACCCUGUACAGGGGGAUAACAAUGGGAAACCAUUGCUAAUACCCCAUAACACCUUUUAGGGGCAUCCCUUUAAGGUCAAAGAAUUUCGGUACAGGAUGGGUCCGCGUCUGAUUAGCUAGUUGGUGAGGUAAUGGCUCAUCAAGGCGACGAUCAGUAGCCGGCCUGAGAGGGUGAACGGCCACACUGGAACUGAGACACGGUCCAGACUCCUACGGGAGGCAGCAGUGGGGAAUAUUGCACAAUGGGCGAAAGCCUGAUGCAGCAACGCCGCGUGAGCGAUGAAGGCUUUCGGGUCGUAAAGCUCUGUCCUAAGGGAAGAUAAUGACGGUACCUUAGGAGGAAGCCCCGGCUAACUACGUGCCAGCAGCCGCGGUAAUACGUAGGGGGCAAGCGUUAUCCGGAAUCAUUGGGCGUAAAGGGUGCGUAGGCGGCCCUAUAGGUCAGAGGUCAAAGGCUACGGCUCAACCGUAGUAAGCCUUUGAAACUGUAGGGCUUGAGUGCGGGGGAGGAGAGUGGAAUUCCUAGUGUAGCGGUGAAAUGCGUAGAUAUUGGGAGGAACACCAGUGGCGAAGGCGACUCUCUGGACUGCAACUGACGCUGAGGCACGAAAGCGUGGGGAGCGAACAGGAUUAGAUACCCUGGUAGUCCACGCCGUAAACGAUGAGUGCUAGGUGUCGGGGGUCGAACCUCGGUGCCGCAGCUAACGCAUUAAGCACUCCGCCUGGGGAGUACGUUCGCAAGAAUGAAACUCAAAGGAAUUGACGGGGACCCGCACAAGCAGCGGAGCAUGUGGUUUAAUUCGAAGCAACGCGAAGAACCUUACCUGGACUUGACAUCCCUCGGACCGCUUUUUAACCAAAGCCUUCCCUUCGGGGACUGAGGUGACAGGUGGUGCAUGGUUGUCGUCAGCUCG
RNAcentral lists this ribosomal RNA (986 nucleotides) under uncultured bacterium. RNAcentral describes it as "bacterial SSU rRNA". It matches the Rfam family "Bacterial small subunit ribosomal RNA", at positions 67 to 1062 of the family's 1533-position model. The record is from RNAcentral.